GAUGAACGCUGGCGGCGUGCCUAAUACAUGCAAGUCGAGCGAACAGACGAGGAGCUUGCUCCUCUGACGUUAGCGGCGGACGGGUGAGUAACACGUGGAUAACCUACCUAUAAGACUGGGAUAACUUCGGGAAACCGGAGCUAAUACCGGAUAAUAUAUUGAACCGCAUGGUUCAAUAGUGAAAGACGGUUUUGCUGUCACUUAUAGAUGGAUCCGCGCCGCAUUAGCUAGUUGGUAAGGUAACGGCUUACCAAGGCGACGAUGCGUAGCCGACCUGAGAGGGUGAUCGGCCACACGGGAACUGAGACAAGGUCCAGACUCCUACGGGAGGCAGCAGUAGGGAAUCUUCCGCAAUGGGCGAAAGCCUGACGGAGCAACGCCGCGUGAGUGAUGAAGGUCUUCGGAUCGUAAAACUCUGUUAUUAGGGAAGAACAAAUGUGUAAGUAACUAUGCACGUCUUGACGGUACCUAAUCAGAAAGCCACGGCUAACUACGUG
This 497-nucleotide ribosomal RNA is filed under the name uncultured bacterium. RNAcentral describes it as "partial 16S ribosomal RNA". It matches the Rfam family "Bacterial small subunit ribosomal RNA", at positions 28 to 507 of the family's 1533-position model. The record is from RNAcentral.